AUUGGCUGACAGGAGCAAGGCGUCAUUUGCAUGUAGUUGAGCAGAUUUUGCUGAUGUUUCAGUGUUUUGCAUAGGUGUAGACUUUAACGUGUGUGUGUGUGUGUGUGUGUGUGUGUGUGUGUGUGUUGCUCUGCAGAAGCGAGCCAAGGGUCAGUUCCUGUUGCAAAAAAGUGUGGUGAGCACCUGAACCUCCCUGGAGAAAGGAUUACUUCGGGCCUGAGCUCAAAGACAACGCGGACCAGAGGUGCUGGCUCGAUCCUACGAAGGAGAUCAAACGUCAGAUCCGCAGUAAGUAACUUUAUUUGGUUUAUUUCUCACACACACACUUCAGACGUGCCGUAUCUCGUUAUCGUAACCAGAUUUAUUCAUCAGGAUGUUGGCGUGGGACUUCCUGUGUGCAGAUUUAGAUUUUAGCAGCUUGCACUGCGUGUAAAGCAUGUUAUUUAUGAUUUUGUUGAGUAUUCGAUGUAUUUUUUCGGGAGGUGGACGGUUAGUUACGGAGCUGCGGUGGUUCAGAACACCUUCACCGUGUUCAUAUAAAUAUAAAGAAAAUAAUGAAACAAAUGCAAGUCACAUUUAAAAAGAGACGUCACGGUCCAGCCUGGUGGAGGUGUGGUGGUGUGGGGAAUGUUUUCUCAGCGCACUUUGUUGUUGACCAUGUACUUCCCAUCAUGACCGCAAUCUACCAUCUUCUAAUGGCUACUUCCAGCAUGAUAAUGCACCAUGAACAUGACAAUGAGUUCCUCAGAGUUCCUCAGAGUUCCUCAGAGUUCCUCAGAGUUCCUCAGAGUUCCUCAGAGUUCCUCAGAGUUCCUCAGAGUUCCUCAGAGUUCCUCAGAGUUCCUCAGUCACAGGACCAGACUCUCAAAGGAAUGUUUCCAACAUCGUCAGGAAUCCAGGAGAUGAAGAAUUGAGGCUGUUUUGAGAGCAAAGGGGGAGGCUCUGGGCAACAUUAGUGUAGUGAUCCUGAUAAAGUGCUCUGUGACUGUAUAAUAAAAUAUAUUAGCAUGUAGUAGUAGUGAUUAUUAUUAUUAUUAUUAUUAUUAUUAUCAUUUGUAGAAUAUUAGUUUAGUUAUUUCCUGUAAGGAGAAA
Long non-coding RNA from Ictalurus punctatus (channel catfish), 1092 nucleotides. Lineage: Eukaryota; Metazoa; Chordata; Actinopteri; Siluriformes; Ictaluridae. The record is from Ensembl.